Non-coding RNA from Punica granatum (pomegranate), 89 nucleotides. The record is from Rfam. NCBI's taxonomy places the organism in Eukaryota, Viridiplantae, Streptophyta, Magnoliopsida, Myrtales, Lythraceae.
UGUGGCAGAUGAUGAACAUUUAUAUAUGUUACUCUAUACUCAGAUUAAGCAGUGUUGACUACAAACUCCGCCUAUUAUCUGAUGCCAUG